Molecule: ribosomal RNA, 406 nt
Filed under: uncultured bacterium
Lineage: Bacteria
Description: partial 16S ribosomal RNA
Rfam family: Bacterial small subunit ribosomal RNA
Source: RNAcentral
AUUGAACGCUGGCGGCAGGCCUAACACAUGCAAGUCGAACGAGUGGCGGACGGGUGAGUACUGUCUGGGAAACUGCCCGAUGUAGGGGUAUAACUACUGGAAACGGUAGCUAAUAACGCAUACCAUCGUAUGUGCCCAGAUGGGAUUAUCUAGCAGGUGGGGUAACGUCUCACCUAGGCGACGAUCCUCAGCUGGUCUGAGAGGAUGACCAGCAACACGGGAACUGAGACACGGUCCAGACUCCUACGGGAGGAAGCAGUGGGAAAUAUUGCACAAGGGGCGAAAGCCUGAUGCAGCCAUGCCGCGUGUAUGAAGAAGGCCGUCGGGUUGUAAAGUACUUGCAGCGAGGAGGCGUUACUCGCAGAAGAAGCACCGGCUAACUCCGUGCCAGCCGCCGCGGUAAUAC